GACGAACGCUGGCGGCGUGCUUAACACAUGCAAGUCGAACGGUAAGGCCCUUCGGGGUACACGAGUGGCGAACGGGUGAGUAACACGUGGGUGAUCUGCCCUGCACUUCGGGAUAAGCCUGGGAAACUGGGUCUAAUACCGGAUAGGACCCUGGGAUGCAUGUCCUGGGGUGGAAAGCUUUUGCGGGGUGGGAUGGGCCCGCGGCCUAUCAGCUUGUUGGUAGGGUGAUGGCCUACCAAGGCGACGACGGGUAGCCGGCCUGAGAGGGUGACCGGCCACACUUGGACUGAGAGACGGCCCAGAGUCCUACGGGAGCCAGCAGUGGGGAAUAUUGCACAAGGGGCGCAAGCCUGAUGCAGCGACGCCGCGUGAGGGACACCGGCCUUGGGUUUGUAAGCCUCUUGCGGCACCGCCGGAGCUCAAGUGACGGUAGGUGCAGAAGAAGGACCGGCCAACUACGUGCCAGCAGCCGCCGUAA
This 478-nucleotide ribosomal RNA is filed under the name uncultured bacterium. RNAcentral describes it as "partial 16S ribosomal RNA". It matches the Rfam family "Bacterial small subunit ribosomal RNA", at positions 28 to 523 of the family's 1533-position model. The record is from RNAcentral.